CAGCACCUCAAGUGGUCAGGAUGAUUAUUAGGCCUAAAGCAUCCGUAGCCGGCGCUGUAAGUUUUCGGUUAAAUCUGUACGCUCAACGUACAGGCUGCCGGGAAUACUGCAGCGCUAGGGAGUGGGAGAGGUAGACGGUACUCGGUAGGAAGGGGUAAAAUCCUUUGAUCUAUUGAUGACCACCUGUGGCGAAGGCGGUCUACCAGAACACGUCCGACGGUGAGGGAUGAAAGCUGGGGGAGCAAACCGGAUUAGAUACCCGCGUAGUCC
RNAcentral lists this ribosomal RNA (270 nucleotides) under uncultured archaeon. RNAcentral describes it as "partial 16S ribosomal RNA". It matches the Rfam family "Archaeal small subunit ribosomal RNA", at positions 477 to 747 of the family's 1478-position model. The record is from RNAcentral.